This 253-nucleotide ribosomal RNA is filed under the name uncultured bacterium. Its description in RNAcentral is "partial 16S ribosomal RNA". It matches the Rfam family "Bacterial small subunit ribosomal RNA", at positions 524 to 776 of the family's 1533-position model. The record is from RNAcentral.
UACGUAGGGUGCGAGCGUUAAUCGGAAUUACUGGGCGUAAAGCGUGCGCAGGCGGUUCGUUGUGUCUGCUGUGAAAUCCCCGGGCUCAACCUGGGAAUGGCAGUGGAAACUGGCGAGCUUGAGUGUGGCAGAGGGGGGUGGAAUUCCGCGUGUAGCAGUGAAAUGCGUAGAGAUGCGGAGGAACACCGAUGGCGAAGGCAACCCCCUGGGCUGACACUGACGCUCAGGCACGAAAGCGUGGGGAGCAAGCAGG